Molecule: ribosomal RNA, 468 nt
Filed under: uncultured bacterium
Lineage: Bacteria
Description: SSU rRNA
Rfam family: Bacterial small subunit ribosomal RNA
Source: RNAcentral
AGGACUAACGCUGGCGGCGUGCCUAACACAUGCAAGUCGAACGAGAGUAGCAAUACUCUAGUGGCAGACGGGUGAGUAACACGUGGUCAACCUACCUCUAUGUGGGGGAUAACUAGCCGAAAGGUUAGCUAAUACCGCAUACGAUCGUCGAGCGGCAUCGCUUGACGAUGAAAGGAGCAAUCCGCAGAGAGACGGGACCGCGUCCCAUUAGCUAGUUGGUGGGGUAAUGGCCUACCAAGGCGACGAUGGGUAGCUGGCUUGAGAGAGCGACCAGCCACACUGGGACUGAGACACGGCCCAGACUCCUACGGGAGGCAGCAGUGAGGAAUUUUCCGCAAUGGGCGAAAGCCUGACGGAGCGACGCCGCGUGUGGGAAGAAGGCCUUCGGGUCGUAAACCACUGUCGAAGGGGAAGAGUAUUGACGGUACCCUUGGAGGAAGCCCCGGCUAACUACGUGCCAGCAGCCGC